AUGAUGGACUAUAGGACAGGACUGCUGCUGUUAACUGUCUGCUGGGCAGGUGUUGAUGGUCAGACUCUGACAGAAUCUGAACCAGUGGUUAAAAGGCCUGGAGAAUCUCACAGAUUGACCUGUACAGCCUCUGGAUUCACAUUCAGUGACUACUGGAUGAGCUGGAUCAGACAGGCUCCUGGAAAAGGACUGGAGUGGAUGGCUAUUAUUAGAUAUGACAGUGCUUCCGUCUACUACUCUGAAUCAGUCAAAGGCCGGUUUACCAUCUCCAGAGACAACAGCAGACAGCAGGUGUAUCUGCAGAUGAGCAGUCUGAAGACUGAAGAUUCUGCUGUUUAUGAUUGUGCUCGAGAGCCACAGUGACU
This is a non-coding RNA of Acanthopagrus latus (yellowfin seabream), 365 nucleotides long. Lineage: Eukaryota; Metazoa; Chordata; Actinopteri; Spariformes; Sparidae. The record is from the annotation of a RefSeq genome assembly.